GUUGAUUGUGGUAAUACGUUCUUAUUUGUGUUUAGCACAUUUUAUUUGAAUCUUCAGAUUUUUCUACCAGAAAGCUAAGAGUCUUAGUUCUCAAAUUUCUUCUCUCUUUAAAAUGUCUCUGUCAGCCAGAAAGCUAAGAAUCUUAGUUCUCAAAUUUAUUCUCUCUUUAAAAUGUCUUUGCCAGCUCAGAUGGGGAAAAGUUUAAUUCAAUUCAGUUGGUGACUCAGUUGGUGAUAAUGACGCAAUUCAAUGAAUUAUAGCUCUCUGCUCUUUCAUCUCACCCCAUCUCUAGUUUUGACAUUUCUUUUUAAAGCCUUUCUGUUAUCGAAGAACUCUGAAUGAAAAAUAGAGUUCUAAGUUUGGAAGGAAGUACACAGCAGUAAGACAGCAUUAAGAAGGAAUCUUUUCUUCCUUUAGAGAAGCAACCUUCUGGCCUAGUUUCAAACAUCAUACAUCUAUUGACAGCAUGUGUACAAGAACAAAAAAGUCCAAAUAUUUACAUCAUAGAUGCAUUUAUAUCAAGCAUGGGGAGAUCAUACACAUUAGUGCCAGAUAAAGAGGCCAAAAGGUACCUUGCCCCAAUUACUAGAGCCUAGAGAAAAUCUGGAUUCCAGAUCUGCCACCCAAAAGCUAUGUGACAUCAGACAAGUUAUCUUAAUUUCCCUGAGUCUCACUUUCCCCUUGCAUAAAAUGGGAUAAAAUAAUGCUCAUAAGGUGACUGUAAAGAGUAAAGGAUAUACUGUAGGUAAAAUGCUUAAUGAUAGAAAUUCACAAAAACUCUGUUUGAUGGUGGUUAUCAUCAUCAUCACGAAGUUAAUUCUCUUGCUCUUUUUUUUUUCCCAACACAAGUAACUCGUUCCUCAGAAGGACAUUUAAGUAGGAAAACUCCCUCUGUCCUGUCAGGACCUGGAGUGUGUAAUAAGCACAAGUAUUGAUAAUAUCAGUGCCAGAUCACUCUAAGCUCCAAGGUGAAUGAAAGUCUCUGCCAUUUCUGCUGACUCUCAAGUUUUGGGAGGGUGGAAGAGAGGCAAAGAUUAGCUUGGGUUCCCUCUCAGGCACUUAGAGAGAGAAUAUAAGAUUAAGUGGAACCAACUCUCCGUGUCUAAUAUUUUUUAAAUAAUAAUAAGGACAAGUAGAUGAGGCAGAUACGAAAGGUGAAGAUCAAGAUAUAAUAAAUAAAAGGAAUUUAAUAGUAAUAAUUAUUUUUUUGGUCUAAAAUUGAGAUCUCAGUUCAUAAGCUUGCAGGAAGCCCAACAGAACAGCUAAUAUCUAAAGAAGUUUAGAAAUUGAAUUAUUUCCCCUCCUAUGGAGAUGGUCUGCUGGAAAAAGCAAUUAAGCAUAUUAUUCGAUGAAUAAAGGACUUUUGUUUCCUGUGCUUGUAAUCAAAAUCUUUUCAUCAAAAUCUCAAGGAAGAAUGAAGAAUUUAAACUUCUUUUAGUAAAAAGAAUUGGUUCUCAUUAUUCCAUCAAGGAUGAUGGGAGAUUCUAGAAGUUCUAGGAAGAAGGUUGAAGGCAUUCAUUAUGAGUAAUAUUUUAUCAUUAUAUUCUAUGGUACAUAAUAAGUUCUGAGAUUAUGCAUUUUUGUAGUAUAGAUUACCAAAGCUCUAAGUUAAGUGUCUGUUUAAGGAGAGUAUAUGUGUUAAGAUUAGAAGCCUUUUGAACAGUGUUCCCCAAGUCCUCAAAUGUUUUUUUCCUCCCAAUCCAAUUAGGUAAAGUCGUUUCCCAUCUCAAUGUAUCUAGUCAGGUUUUAAAAGGUAGAUGCCAUAUUUUUUGAUGAACUAGGACCUUUGUUGUUUGUUCAACAGAUGUUCACUGCAUUCUGCCCCAAAUCCACAUUUCCAGCUUUAUCUCCCCCAAAUUCCCCACUGCAAAGCCUUUACUCCCACUAACCCAAUCUAUUUUCAGGCUCCAAUAUAUAAAACAAGUGUUUCUACUUCCAACUUUUUGCUAAGACCUGUUUCCUCUCCAAAGCCUCCUCUUCCUCUCCCUCUGCCUGUCCUUCAUGAUGUAUUUCAGACUGGUCAGUAUCCACUGAGUAAAUAGAGACUGGAGGUGUACAUGUGUGAGGCGCUCACAAGCAGUAGCACCAACAUAUGAACUCUUACUUAUUGAGCCCUUACUAUGUUCCAUGCAACAUCUCAUCUGAUGGUCACAACAAUUGGAUGAGAUUACAGACAUCUAGAAAACGUUUUUUUAUACCGAAGAUUUUGUCAUCUAACAUUGUCAGGAAGUAAUUAAGAGACAAUUUGGUCACUGAGUGUGAGAUAUUUUUUUAAAAGAACUCAUGAAUAACGCGCCACCCUUCAGCACUGUGACUGAGGCAUCUAUUUACCUAUCUGAGUAAAAGGAAUGAACGAACGGACAAAAGAAAACAAAAUAAUGAAUGAAACGUCAGAAUGAACGAAUCAACGAAUGCUUUCCCUCUUGCAGUCAGAUUUCAGGAGAUGGACAGGAUGCUGUCAACUAAAUCUUCGUAAAGUCUUGGUCAAUGGGCACUUGAGGAUUCUCAUAAUCUAGAGAUAAGCCUCCAAGGCACAGAGCGGCCAAGAAAAAAAUCCGUUUCUUAGCGACAGCGGCAGGCCCAGGAUUUGCAAACUCCAGUCAGGAUCCCUCCCAGGCCGCUCAGGCCGCCCUCUGAAGCGCUCUCGGCACUCCCGCCCCACCCCCCAGCCCAGCCGGGGUCGCCGCUUCCACCCGCGCGCCCUCUCAGGCUUUACGGGCGCCGGAAGUCUCCGAUCACAUGACCAGAAGCCCGCCGAGCUGCUGGAAUUUCUUCACAGACUUACCCCGGGAGGGCCCACGCCACCUCAGAAGCCAUGGUCCCCGCCGGCUUCUUUUCCCCCCCCCGUUUCGGCCGGGAGACGACCCACCUGAGUC
This is a non-coding RNA of Delphinapterus leucas (beluga whale), 2876 nucleotides long. NCBI's taxonomy places the organism in Eukaryota, Metazoa, Chordata, Mammalia, Artiodactyla, Monodontidae. The record is from RefSeq and is a predicted model, not a curated record.